RNAcentral lists this ribosomal RNA (253 nucleotides) under uncultured bacterium. Its description in RNAcentral is "partial 16S ribosomal RNA". It matches the Rfam family "Bacterial small subunit ribosomal RNA", at positions 524 to 776 of the family's 1533-position model. The record is from RNAcentral.
UACAGAGGGUGCGAGCGUUAAUCGGAAUUACUGGGCGUAAAGCGCACGUAGGCGGCUUGGUAUGUCGGGUGUGAAAUCCCCGGGCUCAACCUGGGAACUGCAUCCGAAACUGCCUUGCUCGAGUAUGGGAGAGGGAAGUGGAAUUUCCGGUGUAGCGGUGAAAUGCGUAGAUAUCGGGAGGAACACCGGUGGCGAAGGCGGUCUUCUGGACGGUGACUGACGCUGAGGCGCGAAAGCGUGGGGAGCAAACGGG